Molecule: non-coding RNA, 69 nt
Organism: Ictidomys tridecemlineatus (thirteen-lined ground squirrel)
Lineage: Eukaryota; Metazoa; Chordata; Mammalia; Rodentia; Sciuridae
Source: Rfam
GGGAUUGUGGCUCAGUGGUAGAGCGCUCGCCUCGCACGUGAGAGGCCCUAGGUUUGAUCCUCAGAACCA